This 281-nucleotide RNase P RNA is filed under the name Candidatus Bathyarchaeota archaeon. RNAcentral's name for it is "RNase P RNA component". It matches the Rfam family "Archaeal RNase P". Rfam says of the family: Ribonuclease P (RNase P) is a ubiquitous endoribonuclease, found in archaea, bacteria and eukarya as well as chloroplasts and mitochondria. The record is from RNAcentral. Lineage: Archaea; Thermoproteati; Candidatus Bathyarchaeota.
AUACGCCGGCAGAUGGUUAUGGGAGAAAUCCUAUGGAAACUCCUUCCUCCUAGUAAAGGCGUGGUGCUGAGAAGCACAACGGGAGACCGUUGGCAACGGAACAGAAACGACACCAACCUAGACAGAUGUCUAUGAUAAACUUUGAGUAUGUCUAGAGUUUGGGUGAAACGGCCGACCCACGCGGAGCAAGGCCAAACAGGGCGAUGUGCCUUUACUCAAAGCCCGGGUAGGCCGCAUAGUCAAAUGCCAUUAAUACAGAAGAAGGGUUAUAGCCGGCCUAU